GAUGAACGCUAGCUACAGGCUUAACACAUGCAAGUCGCAGGGUAACAUGAGGAAAGCUUGCUUUCCUUGAUGACGACUGGCGCACGGGUGAGUAACGCGUAUCCAACCUUCCCAUAACUACGGGAUAACCCGUUGAAAGACGGCCUAAUACCGUAUGAUAUCGUUUGCUGACAUCAAAUAACGAUUAAAGGUUUAGCGGUUAUGGAUGGGGAUGCGUCUGAUUAGCUUGUUGGCGGGGUAACGGCCCACCAAGGCGACGAUCAGUAGGGGUUCUGAGAGGAAGGUCCCCCACAUUGGAACUGAGACACGGUCCAAACUCCUACGGGAGGCAGCAGUGAGGAAUAGUGGUCAAUGGGCGAGAGCCUGAACCAGCCAAGUAGCGUGCAGGACGACGGCCCUAUGGGUUGUAAACUGCUUUUAUGUGGGGAUAAAGUGCGUGACGUGUCAUGCAUUGCAGGUACCACAUGAAUAAGGACCGGCUAAUUCCGUG
RNAcentral lists this ribosomal RNA (490 nucleotides) under uncultured bacterium. RNAcentral describes it as "partial 16S ribosomal RNA". It matches the Rfam family "Bacterial small subunit ribosomal RNA", at positions 28 to 507 of the family's 1533-position model. The record is from RNAcentral.